Non-coding RNA from Podarcis lilfordi (Lilford's wall lizard), 74 nucleotides. NCBI's taxonomy places the organism in Eukaryota, Metazoa, Chordata, Lepidosauria, Squamata, Lacertidae. The record is from the annotation of a GenBank genome assembly.
UGUAGGGGUGUGUGUGUGUGUGUGUGUGUGUGUACACACACACACACACACACACACACACACACAUAUUUAUG